GAUGAACGCUAGCGAUAGGCUUAACACAUGCAAGUCGAGGGGCAGCAUGGUCUUAGCUUGCUAAGACUGAUGGCGACCGGCGCACGGGUGCGUAACGCGUAUGCAACUUGCCUCACAGAGGGGGAUAACCCGUCGAAAGACGGACUAAUACCGCGUACACUUGGGAUAGGGCAUCCUGACCCAAGGAAAUGAAAUUCGCUGUGAGAUAGGCAUGCGUCCCAUUAGCUAGUUGGUGAGGUAACGGCUCACCAAGGCGACGAUGGGUAGGGGAACUGAGAGGUUGAACCCCCACACUGGUACUGAGACACGGACCAGACUCCUACGGGAGGCAGCAGUGAGGAAUAUUGGUCAAUGGGCGAGAGCCUGAACCAGCCAAGUCGCGUGAAGGAUGACUGUCUUAUGGAUUGUAAACUUCUUUUAUACGGGAAUAACAAGAGUCACGUGUGGCUCCCUACAUGUACCGUAUGAAUAAGCAUCGGCUAACUCCGUG
This 490-nucleotide ribosomal RNA is filed under the name uncultured bacterium. RNAcentral's name for it is "partial 16S ribosomal RNA". It matches the Rfam family "Bacterial small subunit ribosomal RNA", at positions 28 to 507 of the family's 1533-position model. The record is from RNAcentral.